Mycena latifolia is the source of this 96-nucleotide non-coding RNA. Lineage: Eukaryota; Fungi; Basidiomycota; Agaricomycetes; Agaricales; Mycenaceae. The record is from the annotation of a GenBank genome assembly.
GCCACUAUAGUCUAGUGGUAGAAUGCCCGGCCCGUUUAGACUCAGGUUUGCCCUUCGACACCGGGAGGCCGCGGGUUCGAUUCCCGCGUCGUGGCG